Molecule: non-coding RNA, 75 nt
Filed under: Kutzneria buriramensis
Lineage: Bacteria; Bacillati; Actinomycetota; Actinomycetes; Pseudonocardiales; Pseudonocardiaceae
Source: RNAcentral
AAGAGCCGUGUAACGGGCGACUGUUACGCACGGUUCCGUGGGAGCCCAGGGCUGCGAUGCCCUGGGCCACCCGAC